AACGAAGUACGCCAAACCAAUUGCGAGAUUGGGACGGAAAGCCAAGGGUCUGUUACUAAGGAUGAAACAGACAGCCGGUUGCCACU
This 86-nucleotide non-coding RNA is filed under the name Oleiphilus sp. HI0066. RNAcentral describes it as "c-di-GMP-I riboswitch aptamer". It matches the Rfam family "c-di-GMP-I riboswitch aptamer". Rfam says of the family: GEMM was predicted in a large-scale screen for bacterial structured RNA regulatory elements. Genes associated with GEMM are involved in a diverse array of functions, including chemotaxis regulation, signal transduction, secretion and chitin. RNAcentral also lists the same sequence under 1 other name. The record is from Rfam by way of RNAcentral. Lineage: Bacteria; Pseudomonadati; Pseudomonadota; Gammaproteobacteria; Oceanospirillales; Oleiphilaceae.